UGGAGUCACAGCACCUAAACUAACCUAAGUCAGGAAGCAUCUGUGAUUGGCCAUCCUGAGUCACAUGCCCAUUGUAGCUGGGAGUGGAGUCACGGCACCUAAACCAACGUAAGGCAGGAAGGAGCUGUGAUUGGCCACCCUGAGCCACAUGCCCAUUAGUAGCUGGGGGUGGAGUCACAGCACCUAAACCACACCCUAAGGCAGGAAGGAGGUGUGAUUGGCCAUCCUGAGUUACAUGCCCGUUGUAGCUUGGGGUGGAGUCACAGCACCUAAAGCGCAUGGACUGGAAGUAGAGGGAAGGGCAGUUUCCCAGAGGAAAACCAGAGUGAUAUCAUUAGAAAAAAGAGUUCCUGCUGAGAGGCAAAGAUUUACACAUGCAGACCCCAGCCACUAUUUACUGAGGGCUAGAUUGUACCAGGCACUUUACCUGUGCUGUGAUCAUGUAAUCCUGUCAAGUAAGUAUUAUCCCUAUCUUGCAGAUGAAGAAACUGACACUCAAAGAGUGUCUUGCUUAAGGUCCCACGGUGACAGAACUGAGAUCAGAACAUGGUCACCUGACUGCAAAAUUCGUGCCUUUGCCCCUCUAUGCCCCAAAGUCCUCCAUCUCUUUUUUAUACCAGAAAAAAAUACACAAAAAACCCCAAAACACGUGUGAUGAAUGACAUUCUCACAUACAACCUGUCCUGUGGGGUUAAACUCAAUUCCUCUUGUGAGACCUCUAUUCGACCCUUCUCUCUCCCACUCCACUGUGACAACUCUGGUGAGAGGUCAGCUCAGAGGGAGCAGGUUGCAGCUGCCUACACCCCGAAGCCUGCGGCAUCCGGGGCUCUCCUGCCUUGUGCCCUCUGGAUCGUACUCACCUGUGGCCGUGGACCUUGGGCCUGGGAGGAUAGCGGUGAGCCCACCUCCCACGGCUCGCCUUCUGGGGCCGGCUGACUUGCUGGGCCAUUAACCAGCAAAGCCGCAGCAGCAAUAAAAUUAAUUUCCUUCCUAAUAUAUACAAGACUUUCUGCAGGAGAAUUAUGGACCGAUUUGAUCAAAGUGUGCAAAACCCAGCAGGAAGAUAGAAGACAAUAGAGCCGUGAUUUUGACCCAGCCUCCCAGGACACAGAUGGGGUGAAGAAAUCAAAGGGGCAAACAGAAUUUGCAGCCCAAGUUUCGAAGGGGCAGUUGGGAGACAUCUUUAGGCUUUCUGCAACCAAGCCACCGUCUUCCACACAGCAAGAGACAGUUACUCAGUGGAGGAAUAAGCCUUCAGUUGCAUACCGCUCUGUGCAUUGGAUGGGAGGAUUUUGAAACUUUUGGAAGCUCCAUACUGUGGCUUUAUUCCAUGAAUCCACCAGCGCUGUGCACCAAAGUUUCUCUGUGGAGGGAGAACAUAUUUUUGCAGAGCAAGUACAGAUAAGAGGUUGGGUGCCUGAAGCCUGGAUAAUAAUAGAAUGACAGCUGAUGAUUCAUCAGUGCUCUUCAGAGCCAGCUGAUAAUACGUUGCCAGCCUUUCCCCUUUGCUCAGACAGAACAGCCACCCUCACCCACGGGGAUUCCUGCCCAGAAGGAAUUUCCACAGCCCUGUACCAAGCAUGCUUAAAGUGGCUGCCAUUUAUGUGGGGUUUCCAUGUGCCAAGGGGCACGCCAAUGGUCCUUUACAUCAACUCACUUAAUCUUUAUAUCCUCAUGACCGCCCCAGGAGAUACAUAAUAACAUCUACAUUUUAUAGGCAGAGACAGAAGCUUGGCUCAGCAUAACAGAGAGGGAGUGUGGAGCAGUGGUCAGGAUCACAGCCAGUAAAUCCAGAUGACCUGGGUUCAAGUCCCAGUCCUGCCACUUCCCAGCUGUGGGCUUUUGCACAAGUCACAUGGUCUUCCUGUGUCUCAGCCCCCACCCCCCCAUCUGUAAACAAAACAACACUGUAAAAUAACAGUGUCUACCUCAUGGGGAUCUUGCAAAGAUCAAAUAAAGAGCUUUGAAGAACAUCUGACUUAUAGUAAGCUCUGUGUGAGCAUUAGCUCAGAGAUAGUUCUCAUGUUAAACUAAAUAAGUUGCCCAAAGUCACAUAGACAGAAAUUAGCAGUGCUGAUUGUGCAAACCUGCAUCCUGAAGUGAGGCCUUGGAACCAGGGUUGUCCUGGAGCUGGUUUUACCAGCUUGCAAGAGCCAACUGUUAAAUUCUCAGGACUUCUGUGAACCAGUUGUUAAACACAGACAUUAUUAAAAAUUAAAUUAUAUCAAGUUUAC
RNAcentral lists this long non-coding RNA (2234 nucleotides) under Homo sapiens (human). Its description in RNAcentral is "HSALNT0370603". Lineage: Eukaryota; Metazoa; Chordata; Mammalia; Primates; Hominidae. The record is from RNAcentral.